UGAACUUUGAGAAGACUUGGGUCAGUUCUUUGGGUCAGCAAGAGAUUUGCUUUGCCUGAUGCACAGUUAAAAUGGAUGAGAUGUGGUCUGACACUGCAGCUCCUGAAAGGUGAAGCCUGAAAAGUUUCUGAAAGGUUUUUGGCAGGGAGCCACACGGGCUGAAACUCCACAAGGAACAGAAAUGUGAAGCCCAGUAAGAGGUGAGCUCCAAACCAGGGAGCCCUCAGGUCAGAUACCCAGGUGUUCCUGCAGGGCAUCCUGCUGAGAUCCUGAUAAAUGGCACAGCAGAGCCCCACCUUGGGCUGCACCCCUGGAACUCAUCACAGCUUCAAGGAAUUGUGAAGGGGCUGAAGAAAAGCCAGGAGAGCUCUGCUAAAACAUGAAAUAAACGUGAAUUCUUUGCUGCCAAGUGAAUUAAACCCGCCCUUCGUGGCUUCAAUUUUCCAUUCAUUUUCUGUUCCUUCACAUCCAAACCAUUCAUUUUACACCCAAAACCUGAACCAUUAUCAGUUCAUUGUAAAGCUUUCCUUGAGAGCAGUUAAAAUCCAGGAUUUCCCUAAUUUAAGGGCCAAUAAACCUUUCCUCUCUGCAAGUAUUUUAGGGAGUCUCAAGCACUGCUUACACUUCAUCCUCUGGAUGUUUAAUCUAUACUCUUUUAAAGCCAAUAUUUUUUUAAAA
Zonotrichia leucophrys gambelii is the source of this 678-nucleotide long non-coding RNA. RefSeq lists it as uncharacterized. The transcript has 3 exons. Lineage: Eukaryota; Metazoa; Chordata; Aves; Passeriformes; Passerellidae. The record is from RefSeq and is a predicted model, not a curated record.